UGUUCAAGCCCUCUAUCCCCA
Molecule: transfer RNA, 21 nt
Filed under: Metanarthecium luteoviride
Lineage: Eukaryota; Viridiplantae; Streptophyta; Magnoliopsida; Dioscoreales; Nartheciaceae
Description: partial tRNA-Leu
Source: RNAcentral